AUUGAACGCUGGCGGCAGGCCUAACACAUGCAAGUCGAGCGGAUGAAGGGAGCUUGCUCCUGGAUUCAGCGGCGGACGGGUGAGUAAUGCCUAGGAAUCUGCCUGGCAGUGGGGGAUAACGUCCGGAAACGGGCGCUAAUACCGCAUACGUCCUGAGGGAGAAAGUGGGGGAUCUUCGGACCUCACGCUAUUAGAUGAGCCUAGGUCGGAUUAGCUAGUUGGUGGGGUAAAGGCCUACCAAGGCGACGAUCCGUAACUGGUCUGAGAGGAUGAUCAGUCACACUGGAACUGAGACACGGUCCAGACUCCUACGGGAGGCAGCAGUAGGGAAUAUUGGACAAUGGGCGAAAGCCUGAUCCAGCCAUGCCGCGUGUGUGAAGAAGGUCUUCGGAUUGUAAAGCACUUUAAGUUGGGAGGAAGGGCAGUAAGUUAAUACCUUGCUGUUUUGACGUUACCAACAGAAUAAGCACCGGCUAACUUCGUG
Molecule: ribosomal RNA, 484 nt
Filed under: uncultured bacterium
Lineage: Bacteria
Description: partial 16S ribosomal RNA
Rfam family: Bacterial small subunit ribosomal RNA
Source: RNAcentral